UGCUCCCGCCGCGUCCGCCACCUGGGCGUCCUCUCCGCCUCCGCCUCCGCCUCCGUCCCCUCCUCGCCGCCGGGUCCGCGCUUGCGCUUGCGGUCCCUCUCGUCCGCCGCCGCGGCGGCCGUAGUGGAGGUGGAGGGCGCCAUCGCGGCCGGCCGGAAGCGGGGAGCGCGAGCUGGCUCUGCUGCUGGUGCGCGCGCGCGCUCUGUGCGCUAGCGGAUGGACGACGGCUGGCCUUGCGAGUCAGAUUGCAGGGGCUGGGUGGGAGGGAGCUGCGCUGCCGGGAUAUAUAUAUAAAGCGAGGGGAGCGGACGGGGUUAUAACUCGCGGGCAAGAUUCCGGUGUUUUUUAUCACCGGAUGGAUGGAUGGAUGGGUGUACUCUUACUCUGCUUCCAUUUGUUUUGUUGUUUUCUUGUCUUUGCUUUGCAUGGGUGAAACCAGAGCCUUUGACGCAGGCGACGUGUACACCUUCAUUUCAUUUCAUUUUAACUGUUCUUGUCAUGGUCAUGCCGAGGACAAGUGCUGGUAGGCGUACGUUGACGGGGGCUUGCCGUGGUGUUCCUCGCCGGUGGGGUGGGGUGGUGACGGCAGAGGGCCGUACGUGAGCGAGCGAGGGAUAGAGUCCAGCGCGGCGGUGGACAUGAUUAGGCAUAGGCAUAGCUUUCCUGCAUGCCAUGUUCGGUUGCCUCGUGGGCGCUGCUUAACAUGGUGCCAGGGGUGCUCACAUGCGCAUGCGCCACCUCCUCCCUCGUGUAGGCACGCACGCACGCCCACGCACAUUCUGCUCCGCCACCUACCUCCGCAUACGAAUCGUCCCAUCAUACGGUGCAGCACCUACGCUUAUACGGUGGUAGUAGUCCUGUGGUACGUAGUACACCGGUGAAAGCUGCACCGCAAAAACAAAAGCGGAUGCUUUCCGCCAAAAAGUAGCAACGCACUACUACUCCCUUCGUCCCAAAUUAUUUAUCUUAUAAAUAAAUAAAAAUAAAUAUAUUUAAAAUUAAAAUACAUUUAUAUACAUUUAUUCUAAUUAUAAAUAUUAUCCAAGGGAGGAGUAAUUUUUUGAGGAAAAGCUCGUGCCUUCCGAAAGAAAAUAAGCCGCCAUGCUUAUCAAUGAUGUAGUAAAACAUAGAGCUUUCUUACGGUACCUUAUGCUGUUAUUGAAGAGGAGCAGUAUAAGCCUCAUCUAACCGUUGAUUUUUAAAGUAUUAUGGACUUGUUCAAAGGACAAUUAGGUCAAUGGUUCUAACUUCUCUCGUAACCAUAAAGGAAGAUUGAUUCUCCGCCUCUGCACCGCUCAGCGACGUGAGAUGAUUGGCGCAGCCGUCCGUCGCCACUGCGUUCGUCGGGACUAUGACGCCCUCCGUAGCUUGACGUGAAACAUCUAUUACACUGGAUGUUCGAGCGCUCGCAUGCGACGCCAUCUAAAUGGAGGAAAUUACGUCCCCUGUCCAAUUAGGGUCUAGGGAUCUUAGUGUAGAAUUCAAAGCAAGGUCUCGUUCUUCUGAUGAAAAAUGAAAUUGCGGACCAAACUAAGUAAAUUAAAUGUUAAUUUGGUCCAGCAUGGACCAGUCUUAUCUGACAAUUUUGCCCUUGCGGAUCGGUAUACUUCUCACGAUUUUGACCCCUCUUAUUUGUGCACUGCUCGUUAAUCUAAGCAGUAUAAGUGGAUCUACACCACUUGAUUAAGGAGAAUGGACGGCUCUGGUUCAUUAGAGGGUGGCGUAAAAGAGCUCAAAACAUAACUCAGCGAUAGUUAAUAUGGAUCCCCUAAAUCAAAUGACGGUUCAGUCAGUUUGCAAAACUAAAAUGAUAGUGGUUCAGUCACCGUGCAACAAUGAAUGCACUUUCCUUGCACAAUAUUUUGUUGUUGUAAACUUUACAAAUUCAACGUUAGAUUUUUAGCAUUUGCCAGCGAACAUCCAGAUUUGUCAUGCAAAGACAAAUGAAUCUGGCAUGCUGGUGUUAAAUUUUAAAGUGAAAAUUGCCAUGGGCUGCAAAAAAUUAUCAAAAAAAUUGUCAUGUUACAACAAAUAAUUAUUCAAACGGGAUCUAACUUAGCUCAGGUAGUCACAUUUCUAGAGCUAAAAUCUGAUCUCACAUGUAUAUUGGGGUUCAAAAAAAGUUAGUGAUUUUUUCUUUGAGCCCUUCACCUUCCGGGGAUUAUGGGGUUGGCAAGUACCGACCGGCGGAACCAUAGAAGAUGAAGGAGAGUGCCAACAAGAUUCCACUUAUUCUAGAUUUAAAGCAGUUUGGAACGAGAUGCGCCGACCAUGAUAUUUGGAGUUCCGAGUAGGUGAUCACGCUUGACUUCGGCUUGAACCUACAAAGGAUGUGAUGCGUUGUUGAGUGAAGGAUUAGGUAUAGCUGACCGAUACAUUGGACCUUUCUUGGCCCAUAUCCCCCUCGCCCUUAAUCUCUUGUUUUGGUGGUUGGUCUCUACCUUUUUUCGUUUCUUGGCUAGUUUGUCUUCCUCUUCUAUUUGAGGGUAACGUACUAAAAGUCCUUUAUUUCACGGGAUUUUCUUUUUCUUUUCAAAUGAAUUUAUGCUUAAUCUAAAUUUAGUAAAUACCAAAUAAGUAAUAAUAAUAAUUAUUAUUGUUAUUAUUAAAAAUAUGUAUCAGUUUCCUGAAACUAACAAGUAGAGUUAUAGCUUUUAUUGACUUACUAGCUUACGGGAACGCCUUAAAUCUCAACUUACUUUGAACGACUGCUUCCCACAUGCAUUGCUGGAAAGAAGAGUGAGCCGGGGCAGAACUUGAAGCACGGGAGAAGGAAAAAAAGAAGUACACAAGGGGUUUGUAGUUGGUAUAUGUACGGUAUAGACCUUUCUUUGUGAAUAGCUAGCUCACUUGCAAGGGUGUAUACAAAGGUCUGCUUAUAUGUUCAAAAAGCCUGUAUAGAUAGCCUAGAUAGCCAAGAAGAUAUACGUAUUUCAUAGAGAUAGCGAAUAAAGUUUUUGUUAAUUUCAAAUAGGCCAUUGAAUGCAACGGCUAAUAAAGAAGACGAAAGUGCCAGAGCUAAGAGCUAAUAUAUUCUCAGUCUAAGCAUGGAUAAAGGAAUGAUAAGAAGACAAAAUCUUUCUUGGGGAUUCCGGUAUUCUAUGACUCUUUUCCAGACUAAUUCACAAUUUUUUUGCUUUGACAAUUCAAAAGUUUGUGAAGGUUUUUUACCAAGAAAUUUAUUCAUCUUUUUCUUAAAGCGAUGGACUGCUAAUGUCUCAUAAGGUCCUCCAAGAGUUUUUUUACAACUGGUUGAACUAUUUCGAUAGAUCCUUUCAUUUCAUCAAGUCGCACAAAAUAGCGGGCUAACGAAUGGGGCCGGGUUUUGGGGACAUGGUUCUAGGUGCACAGCCUAAAGCAUUUUAAUAUUCCAUAUACUGUAAGAAAUCAAACAAUUCAACUUUUUGUGUGGCGAACAUGAGUGUUCUACUCGGAUGCGAAGUUUGGCGAAGAAAUGGCUUCCGUGUUCUUCUGAUAUUUUCGUGAUAUCAAAAAACUUGAUUUGUAACUUUAAUGUAGAACCAUUUUUUUUCACAAAGAAGGCUACAUAAGUCGUUUCUUCUCGAAAUUUUAGACACGAUUUUUGCAGCAUAACCUGUUCGUUACAGAUAUAUUUCAGAAUUGUUAGACCUUUUUGUUAUUUUUAAAAUAUUUUUCAAUGUGGAUACGCCAAGACCCAGGUUCCUUAUUAUUGCUAGCAAAUCCCCUUCCUUUUGCCAUUGGACGUCUUCAUGAGAUUUUCCCUGCUUUCAUCUGUUUUCUUUGAGAGAAAGUUACUGCUUUCUGCCCAAAAAAAGUAAUAGUAAUGCACUUGUAAUAAUAAGGAUAAGGCCCUUAAACAAGAACAAGGUUUUUCUUUUAGAGAGAAAACAAGAACAAGGUUGAGGUCAAAAGGAGAGUAGAGGAGAGCUCCUGUUUGGCGACAGUGUGGAGUAGGUGAACCAGAUCAUGGUUCACCCGCAGCUACCAAUUCUGAAACGAUUCUUCUUCUACUACUGAUUUCGACACGUUGUAGUUGGGUGGAGAUAAACAUGAUUAAUAGUAUAAUUAACCCAAGUGCCGGACGGUUGCUUGCUUGGACUGGCUUACCAUUUGACGCAGUACCUAACCUGAGGGAUAGAAAAGUUAAGCGCUGCAUCAGUGCCGACGCACGCGGCGGCGGCAGGAGCAUCACGUUCCAUGUCGCGUGGCCUGCCCAGUGCUCACGCACGAGCGCGAGCGCGAGCACGAGCACGAGCACGAGCAGUCUCGCUGGCUGCAUAUGGCCACAUGCACAUGCACAUGCAGGCUCUCCGCUGGAAAUUACAGCGAGUUCAGAGACGUUCACGGGCCAUGAACAUGAAGCAUGCUGGCGAUUUCUGCCACGUAAAGAUGCAUGUGGGCGCUGGGAUUUGUGAAUCGGCAAUGGCAGCCGAGGAAUGUAAACGCGCGCAUGCAUGCAUGCAGGCCGGGAGCACGGGCCAAAUCCGGACAGUGGAACUAACUGUAUGCAUGUCAUGGCGAUGCCUCACUCUGCUAGCCUGCUUUGGCCGCUGCAGGGUUCCCAGGCCGCUCAGAAUGUGGCAGCCUGAGCCCUGAAUCAGUGCGUGCGCGCGUGCAUGCAUGCUCUCGUGUGCCCUGCGAGAUGCCACGCCAGGACGUGAAUGCAUCAAUCCUGUGUGCAUCGUACGGGCAUUUGCUAUGCCAGUACGCCUCAGAGUGCUCUCUGCCAAACCUCCAGGCUCACUUCUGAGCUCUGACGGACGGCUUAAAUUGGAGGAGAAUCUAGCCUGCCGCCACCUCCCAGAAAUCGCCGUUAUCUUAUCCAUCGAUCUUUUCCCCUUUUACAUACGCGUCCGUCCCCGGCCAGUGAUAAUCGAUCGUCUCCACGACGCCUGGCCCCGGGCCAUGCGGACGCACAGCAGGCCCGGCGAGCGUGCGCCGACCAAUCCUUGGCUAACGGUUUCGCUGUGCGGGAUCGGCCUCCGGCUCCGGCGCCGGCGCCGUCUGCUGCCGGUGGUGGUGGAGCCUGGCAUCCUGUGGCAUGCGCGGUGGCCUAUGAUGGAUGCUCCGGCGCGUGGGCGGCCACGGGCGGAAAGCCUGGAAUGCUGGGCAUUUUUCUACUACUACCACGGAUCAGGAGGCCGGUCUGCUCGGGCACAUGGCCGGCCGCCCCGAUUCAGCACGAGCACAUGAAAUGAAUCCUCCUGUUCUCAGCCGCGUCACGGUCGACUCCAUAGUGCCACGACGGGCUUGCCUUUCCCCGUCGACCAUGGCCGCCGAAUCGAAGGUGCAGACUGUUGCUAGAUGUUGGGGCUUGUAUAAUAAAGCAACAGGAUGCGGGAGCACAAGGUCUGCAUCCGCGUAAUGUGUGAUGAGGGCGAGCACAUGCCAGGCGAGCCGAGCUGAGCGAUUAAUCUAUCUUGGUUCGGUCGCUCCAGAUUGGAUCCUCGGUGCAGGCAUGUGCGAGGCAAUCACAUUUUCCGAACUGGGCUCCUCCCCUUUCCAUUACGUUCAUAACGAAAAUACAAUGUUUUUCCAACCAGAAACAUAUUGAAGGGAAAGGAAAGAAGCGGGCUCGUGACAAUACCAGGAAACCCGUCAUCUAUGCCUGUCAUCAUCAGGCAUGUGCGAGGCAAUCACAUGGGCCGAUAAUGGUAGUGUUUUUUUUUUUCCUUUGGUUAUAAGCUGGGCGUGACAUUUGGCGGCGCAAAAGUCAAGAGCAGAGCAGAUAGGAGCGCGUCGUUGGUUGGUGCGUACACAUGCAGGCCACUACACUGCAUCUGCAAUGCUGCCGGGAUUAUACUACUAACAACUGAAACAAUCAGGCAGGCAGUCAUGGAGCCGGUCGGUCAGGUAUCUUAUGAUUUGGACCGAGGGAUUUGGUUGCAUGCAUGUCAACCGUGACGUGUGUAUGGAUCCAAUUCCAUAUCCAAUGCAUCGCUCAACAACCAACGGAAUUGCAAGCAGUGUGAUGAUACUGUUGGGACAGAAGCUGGACGCGUGGAUCCACGGUACGUCGGUGUUUCUUGCCAGUUUCCUCUCCUGUAAGAGACGGAUGGCAGCUUCAACAAAGAAACUUUAACAGGUGGAUGGGGGUAUAUCAUACGGGACCAUGAAAGGGAUGUCGUGGUUGCUGCUGCGGGACGGCUGGAUCAUGUCAAUGAUGCGCAUCCAUGCUAUCCACAAGGCACAAGAGCUGGGCAUUGGCAACACAGUGGUAGAAACAGAUGCUCUUCUGCUUGUCUCGGCGAUCAAGACCUCUAGCUAUGAUCUUGCACCAAACGGUGCUCUGUUUAAGGAGAUCAAAGCUUUCUCUUCUCUAAAUUUUAUUUCUUUCGACAUUGUUCAUCGUCCACGGGUAUGUAAUAAGGUUGCAGACGUUCUUGCGCUGCAUGGGUCGAAGAUGGUGCUUGCGCCCCAAGCCGUAUGGCCGGGUCUUGCUCCUACCUUUGCCUAAGUUCUCGUUGCCAGCGAUUCUGCUUGACGCGGUGAUGAAUGGAAUGAAAUAUUCCCAGUUAAAAAAAAAGAGAUGGAGCGGGUUUUUUUUUAACGGCGUGGUUGAAUUAUUUGAAGGAGCGACUGAAAAUCUGCGUUGAUCUCAAAGUGAAGACGCUCGAUGACGAGUGAAAGCAUUACGUCAUAGCAGGGUACAAAAAUAAUUCUAAGCAAAAUCAUAGGUAAUUCUUAUUUGACACUCAUUGCAUCAAACUUUCGCCAAAACGCACUGUAAAUGCGCGGCCCGAUUAGUUGUACCAUAAUUUAUAGGUAUCCAGUUUUAGAAACCUUCUAAAAUGUUUCUUCACCUGUCUGUACCGGCUCUCUUUCGGAUUCUAUCCAUUCUUUAUUUCUGCUAUUUUAUUUAAAAAAUAUUCAAAGCUUAAAGAAAAUUAUUCAAAAAUUCAAACUAUUUAUAUACGUUCAAUAUAUCAAAGAAUGUUCUCAAUGUUUUAAAAUGUUCAUGUUCAGAUUUUUUUUUUUAAAUCACAGUUCAGACAAAUGUUCAAAUAUGAUAGUCUGGUACCAAAAACCUUUUUUUUUUGUGAAUCAUAGUGCCAGUUGUUGGCCUGAACUUUUUUUUAGUUUAGCUCUUUUUAGGUAACGUAGAAUUCAUUUUUUUAAAACUCCACAACUUCAUUAAACAUCUAAAAUGUCUUGAAUAACACGGUUGAGUUAUCUGAAGGAGCGAACGAAAAAAUCUGUCAGUUGUUGAUCUUAAAAUGAAGACAUUGGAUGACGAGUGAAAACAUACGUCGUCGUAUGAUAAUUCCUAUUUAACACUUGUUGCAUCAAACCUUCACCAAAGCGCACAGAGCAGAGAGAGCGAACAAGGUAAGUGGACUGCUCAAUUUGUUUUACACACAGUACGAACGCUCAUAUAUACGCACAUAUACUCAACAUUAAUGUACAUUCGAAAGACGGAGAUGACACAUCACUUUAAGAUUGACGAAAUCGCCCAGAAGCCUUUCCAUAAAUUUAGUUGUGCCAUAAUUUAUAGGGUUCCAGUUUCAGAAACCUUCUAAAAUGUUUCGCUUUUGCUUAUUUGCCUUUGGCUCUUUGCAAUUGUUAUAUUUACUGGUUUGUACCGACUUUUUUCAUUGUUUUGUUUUCUGUUAUUUUCCUUAAAAAAACUUCAAAACUUACAAAUAACUGUUCAAAAAUCCAAUAUAUAUAUGUAUUUUCUUUAAAUUUCCAAAGCUUCAAAAAAUAUUUGUGUUUUUCAAAAAAUAUUUGAAAAUAGGAAAAAAAUGUUCAUGUCCACAUUUUUUUAAAAAUGUUCAAAAUAAAAAAAAAACAAAUAUGAGAAUCGGGAACAUGUAACCAUUUUUUAGGAAUCACCGUGUCAGUUGUUGGUCUGAACCCUUUUUGUAAGAUCUAGCUUUUUCUAGAUAUCGAAGAAUUCAGAUUUAUCUUAUAACUCCACGUUUAUUAAACAUCUAAAACGUCUGUUACAUGAAUUAAAGAAGAAAGCCGAAUAUGUGCACCAACUGCUAGAGUAACUGCAGCUCUGGUUAUUCAUGUGCUCCGAAGUUUGUCUCCUGUGCUUCAUGCGCAAUUUGUGAAGUUGCAAACUGAUGCCACCUUGCUUGGAUAUCCUUAGCGAUCAUGGAUGACGAUCCCAGAAACGGUUCCCUAAGAUGAUUCACUAUAGCUAAACAGUAUGUUGCAACUCUGAACUCUUGAACAGCAUGCAUGCGUCUCCAAGAUUUCAUUAUCCCAGAGGUCCGUUGAAGAUAGAACUCGAGCACAUAGGGGCGCGUCGUCAUACACAUGCAGACCACUACACUACAUCUGCAAUGCUGGGAGCAAAUAAAAAUAAAAAAUACUAGUAUAAUUGAAUCAAUCAGGUAUCUUAUGAUUUAGACCAAGGGAUUUGGUUGCAUGCAUGUCAACUGUCAUAUGUAUGGAUCCAUAUCCAAUGCAUCGCCCAACAACCAACGGUGUAGCAAGCAAUAUGAUAUGGUAAUGUUACAAAUCUGAAGUCAGAUUCUUAAGCGUGACAAAUCGAAUGUUUUCAUUUUUAAAUUUUGUUGACGUGACUACGUGAGGAUACGAAAUUUAGUUUAGGAGCAAGACAAUUUUCCGACAGAAAAAUAAACUGAGAUAGAUUUGCCACGUUUGCCAACUAAAUUUUCUAUCCUCAACAAACACAAAUUGCCAUAAAAAAAAUUCAAUUUGUGAUGGUCAAAAAUCAAACAUCAGAUAUGUAGUGGAGUCCAUAUGAUACUGUUCGGACAGAAGCUCGAUCGACGAUACAACGAUGUAGUGCCGGAGCAUGUGUCCUCUCAUGCUAGGGACACAUGGGUUGAACUGCUUGGAGCCAAUCAUCGUGUCAGUUGUUGGGUUUAGCUUUAUUUAGGUAUCAUAGAAUUUAGCUUGGCUACAGUGCUUCGCUAAUUUCGUUGGCGGCUCGAAUCAACGGCAUGGAAAGAAGAGUGCUCCUAUAUGAUGCUUACUGCAUCAUAUAUAUAGUUGCACUGACGCACAGGCACACGGCAUAGACCGGCGACCUAGUUCAGGUACGGUGAUAUUUCUUGCUGAAUGUGUUUACGGGAGUGCCCAGUCCAUGGGUACCCUCUCAUCUGGCUUCCAAGUGGACACUCCUGAGGCACGCGGGAGUGUUUGUGGCGCCACAUGUUGCGUUUUAACGUUGUUAAUCUAGUUUAUGUUUCCCUAGGUUUUAUAUUUUCCUGUUUCUGCUCUUUUUUAUUAUUAUUCUUUUUUCGUUUGUGCUUUUCCAUCGGAAGCAUAUUCGCGCUCACGUGUUUUUUACUCCCUCCGUUCCUAAAUAUAAGUACAUCUCCUCUGAAGUGUACCACUCCUCUUAAGGAAAUAUUUGUACCAGAGGGACACACGGAGAAAGGUAAGGUUGUGAGUGGAUCGGCCACUAGGGGUCCGUCUGCUCACAACAAGACAACCGAAUUCAUGCCGCCAUCCUAUGUACUACGCAAAUCAAAGGAAGGAAAGGUCUAUGCUAAAUUCGUUGGUCCCCGUAAUGCAUUUCGAUUCUAUGCUAUUUGGGUCCCUAAGACUCUUGUAACUAAUGUGAAAGGCUCCAUGACAAAAUGGGUACCUCAAACCAAGUCUUAAUUCUUUACAGGCUAUUUUCUCCGGUGGAGCAAAAUGGGUGAUCGACAGUGGAUGCACCAAUCAUAUGACCGGAGAUAGUAACUUGCUCUAUGACUUCAUGCAAGCCAUUCGACCAUACAUGAGCAUUGUAUUUGGUGGAGGGUCGAAAGGGCAGGUAAUUGGGUUGGGCAAGGUGGCAAUCACUAAUGACAUGUCUAUUGCAAAUGUCAUGCUUGUUCAAUAUCUUCAACAUCAUUUACUUUCAGUUCGCCAAUUGGCUUCCGUCGGUUAUGACACACUAUUUGGACUAACGGAUGUGAAAGUCUUUAAGAGAGACACUCUUGAAGUGGCUUUUGUUGGAGAGUUGGAUAGCAACCUUUACACGGUUGAUUUCUCGAAAGAGAGCACUUUCCAUACAACUUGUCUAAUGGCCAAGGCCGACAUGGGAUGGUUGUGGCAUCGCCGGCUCGCCCAUGUUGGCAUAAAAAUCUUCAAAAUCUCUUAAACGGUAAUCACAUCCUUGGACUAACAAAUGUAUCUUUUAAGAAAGAUCGUGUGUGCAGUGCAUGCAUAGCUGGGAAGCAACAUCAAUCAAGACAUCCACUCAAGAACGUUGUAUCCACUUCAAGGCCGUUAGAGCUCCUUCAUGUGGAUCUAUUCGGGCCUCCUUCAUGGGCAAGUCUUGGAGGGAAAAAGUAUAGCCUAGUCAUUGUUGAUGAUUACUCAAGAUAUACAUGGGUGUUCUUUCUCAAGUCCAAGGACGAGACAAAGGUCACUUUCAUUGAUUUUGCUAAACAAGCCCAGCGGAAGUUUGACAAGGACAUUAAGGCAGUAAGAAGUGAUAAUGGCUCUGAGUUCAAGAACUACACCAUAGAAGAAUUUCUGAGUGAUGAGGGGAUUGAACAUCAGUACUCCGCACCCUACACUCCCCAACAAAAUGGUGUGGCAGAAAGGAAGAACCGGACACUUGUGGAAAUGGCAAGGUCCAUGUUAGAUGAAUACAAGUCACCACAUAGCUUUUGGGCUGAGGCCGUCAACACAGCAUGUCAUGCAUCAAACCGGCUCUUCCUCCGAUCAAUAUUGGAGAAAACUCCGUAUGAGCUCCUAACUAGGAACAAGCCCAAUGUUAAGUACUUUCGUGUGUUUGGAUGCAAAUGCUUCAUCCUCAACAAACGGGAACGGUUAGGCAAAUUUCAAUCCAAAACAACUGAGGGGAUUUUUGUUGGCUAUGGAUCAAACUCUCACGCCUACAGAGUCUACAACAAAUCCACUGGAUGUGUUAUAGAAACUUGUGACGUGACGUUUGAUGAAUUUAACCGCUCCCAUGGGGAGCAAGUUGAUCUAAAUGAUGCAGGUGAAGAAGACUCCCCACAAGAUAUCUUAAACAUGGGUGUAGGUGCACUUUUGCCUANNNNNNNNNNNNNNNNNNNNNNNNNNNNNNNNNNNNNNNNNNNNNNNNNNNNNNNNNNNNNNNNNNNNNNNNNNNNNNNNNNNNNNNNNNNNNNNNNNNNUGUCUCUCUCGGAGUUUCGGUUAUUCCUAACCCUAACUCUCUACUUGUGUUAAUCCUUAUUACAUACUUGUAUUUGCUUAUUGUUUACCGCUUGCCUUGCUUCACUCCUAAUAGCUUACUCUUUGUCAUAGCAAUUAUUAGGCUUACACUUAUAUUCCGCACUUUAGCCUAAAAUUGCUAAGUAAUUGUUAAAAUUUGGAUUUGUACCUAUUCACCCCCCCUCUAGGUCCAUCUCGAUCCUUUUCACUAUGGCUCUGGGCGGCCUUGACCGUGCGGUGGUCCACUCGUCGUGCGGUAAAGAGCUGCGCCAACCAUAGGGAUGACGAUGGUGGGUAUUUCCGUGAGGAAUUGGCAACCGUAGGAAGAGAAAUCAUAUCUCUUUGGUGAUUUCGCAAACCAGCCCUUGGGUUGUGCAUGAAUCACGUAAAAGUCCUAGCACUUUUUGAGUUAGCCCUCACGCUUAUCUAAAUUUGCUGCUAAGCCUCUGGCUUAUUGAAAAUUACAAAUGAGCCAUCAGGCUCAUGGGACUUUGAGGUUUAGCCCUCAGGCUUGCUUUCUUCAACAUUAUAACCAUAAGGUUAUUGGUAUUUGUGUUUUAUGCCCCGAGCAUUCAGAGCAAAUAUACAUGGUAGACUACAAGGUCUUGCUGAAUUGCAUAAUAAUUGGUUAUGCAUCAUUUUACAUCGUCUAAAAUGACGGUUUGAGGCCCCAAGUCCUCAUAUGUGUUGCACAUGUAUGUUAAUACUUUUGCAUUUAUUUGUAUUACAUUAGUAAUACUGUUGCAAAGCAAUAUGUUGACUACAUUAUUCACAUAGAAUAUGGAAUUUGCUUGCAAAUUUGGGGAACAUAAGAUAGUCAAGUGUAUGAUACUGUCUGACUAUGUCAAAUGUACACUUGUCACAAUAAAUUGACAAAUAGUACCCACUGCUUAAUUGUAAAUUAUUCAAUGUUAUUGUGAGGUCUAUAUUAUGUCGUUUCGACAUAAUGACCACCUUCAAUUUUUGCACACAACUUAUGGAUUGUUUUAUGGCAACGAAUUAACUUUCGUUCACAACUGUGAGGUCUACACCACCAUGUGGUGAUUACCUUCAAUGAGUUUUAACUAACAUAAGGUUGUGAGAAGCUCCAUAAGAUUGACGUCUACACUACUCAGUAGUGAUUAUCUCCAUGUGUUCAAAGCAAAGUGAAGGCACAAAACUGAUGACAUAGUCAUUAUGAGGCCUACACCAUUGUUGUAUACCUUCAUGAUGUUUUUCCAAAUAAUAGUCAAGUUCAUAGAAUUUCUCAUUGGUUGUGACUAUAGUGUCACAUACUCCAUCUGGAGAAGAAUCCAAUGCAUUAGUGGCGAUUAUGCUACAUGUUGUGCUAUGAAUGAAGAGAGUUAUGCAAAAUAUUUGCAUAUUUUGGUGAUUACCUUCUAUGAGUACACAACUUAUGAGAUGUGAUCAUACCAACGAAUUAAAUUUCGUGCACAACUGAGAGGUUUAUGCCAUUUCAUGGUAAUUACCUUCAUGUGUUUUAAAUAACAUAAGGUUGUGUAGAGGCUAUGAUUGACUAAAAUAUCCAUAAGAGUGAGGCACCACUACGUGGUUGAUUACCUUUGUGUUUUAUGGAAUUAAAGAUUUAUUCUUUAUGAGGUGACUAUACCUUCAAUUUGAAGAACUACAUCAUAGUGUGAUGAUUAUCUUCUUGUGAAGGCUUACUCAUGAAUCACUGAGAAUCACCAUGAUCAUGAUUAUGCUUAGUCAUAGCAUUUUCAUUGUACUUAAUUUACUAAAGGUAAAUUAAUGCAUGAGCAUUCAUGCAAUAUAUGGCGAACCUUUUUCGAAAGGAAAUGCGAUGUGAUGACAUAAGGUGGAAGUAACUAUUGAAAAUGGGUCAUGGACAUUAAUGAUUUUGUCGACCCGUGGCCUUGUCACCAUAGAAAUUCCACCUACACAGAAUGUCAUGGCUAUUUAUAAAUAGCUGAAAGGCGCAGAUUUGCAUUUAUGUGACAUCGCAAUGUCUCGGUUCUGAAACUGAGUAUUUAAAUGGAUGAUGAAUAUCCAUUUGCCCUUCGGGACUACCUUAGGGAGAGAGAUAUUGUGAUAAGCAUCACAUGAAUGACUAUUCAUUUAUGUUCAAGACUUGAAGUCCGUUGAUGCUUAUAAUUCUGUUGUCUAUAAAUCAACACUAAGUUGAGAUUAUGUGAUAAGGCAGUCUCAGAUCUUGAUCUGAUUGUAUGUCCUUACUGCACUUUACAUCCCCCUAUGAUGGUAAAAUAAACACCAUCUUCAUUUCAGGGGUAAAAAUAUGAUGACCUUCUUGUGAAGAAUCAUCUGGUACACCCCAAUGGGUGCUAUAUCAUUACCUGAAAUUUGUGCUAGUGCUUUCAGUACUAAGAAAUAUGUGGUUAGAGAACCACGAGGAGUUGAAAGUGAAGUGGAAAAAAGAGACAAGCAGAAAUGGAGUGUAUAUCUCACAAAGGCAUGUGUCAUUUAGAUAAAUGAUCACAAUGAAAACUCCCAAUUUUGUCAAAGGGGUGAUUGUAUGAAAUAUCGUAUUAAUGAUUACCAAACUUUUAAGUUUUUGGUUGAAUCAUGUCACUGACUCAUUGGAGAAGGCGAAUGAAUUUAAUGGGAUAAGUUUGAACUUCUAUUUCAAAUGGACAACCAGAAAAUAUUCUGAUGCAGUAGAAGGAGAAUGCACUCCUCUACAUUGAUGAUAUGCUUGUGGAAUGACAUUCCCAAGAUAUUUUGGAGAUCUUAUGUAGUCUCCUAGUUAUCCCAAUAUAUCAUUAGCCCAUAAUUGUACUACUACAGGUGGUAUAAUUUGCAACAUCUUGUCCACGGGACAUGAUAGUUGUGAGGAAUUGAGUGUACGAAGAAUUCGUACAUAAUAUUGUUGCGUACACAAUAAUUUUUCCUCCUUUACCUGUCUGGUAUGAGGACUGUUAGAAAAAAUAUUGAUAAUUCUGUUGGCCACAACAAUGUUGCAAUAUUCGUGACAAUCGAAAGAUUUUAUGUGCACUACAUGUGCCAUAGAGGAAUUAAUUUUAAGGCACUCUCACCUUAAAAUUUGAAUGUGCCACUCAUUAUUCUUGAAUGGAUCCAGGAAUGAUGCAAAAUAUUCAACCAUUGGCUGGGUUAUUUUGGUACUUCAUGGUAUUCAUAGACACAUCUAGAAGAUGGUCUUAGGUGUGUAUCAUCCACACAAAACCAUGUGUUUACUGAAUUAAGUGCUCAAAUUGACGAAUUUGAAGCAAAUGAUUAUAUGCAUGGGAUAAUUCCAUUGGAAUGGAAAUGUCGUUGAAUUUGAUUCACGAGAAAUCCAUGGUCAUAUUUGGUACGUCGUGUACCUACCCAGAAUGGUGUGGCUAGAUCUCUUGUCAAAAAGAGUUAAGUUGUUGUGGGAAAUCACAAGGAGUUAAGAGGCAUAACGAGAAUUCCACGAAUGAUAUCGAUUCAAGAAAAUCGUAUAUUGAAAGUCUACAUAUGUCGACAUAAAUUUCUUCUUGAUAAUUGCAGAAAUCCUUUUGGGCCCUGAACCAAAAUCCAUGGAAAGUGUUGUUGACACUUAUAUUGGUUCAAAUGAAAAGAAGCAAUUAAGAAGAGUAGCACUCGCUCAUCAAAAGAGAGGUGUUUAUCAUAGUAAAACCUGCUCCUCAUAAGUAUCUUCCUCAGUGAAGAGAAGUGAUUUUUCGUUCAGAAACGAAAUAGAUGAGGUGGUGAGAAAGCGAGGCUUGUAGCACAUGGGUUUCCGCAUAGACCCAACAUCAGUUAUGAUGUAGCAUACCUUCUCGGUAUGAGUGGAAUUAUGUUUCGAUACUGAAUUGGCAGUACAAAUCCAUGUGGUUGAUGUAUGUAAAGGCUACAUACUCACAUGGAUCAUUCAGUUUGGAUAAAUAUAUAUUGAAGUCAUGAAAUGGCUUAAUAUUCCGAAUCCAAUGAUAAGUUGCAACAUGUGUGAAGCUUCAGAAGUCAUCCUAUGACUUUGAACAUGUCGGAUAGUUGUGUGGUACAACCGACUAAAUGAGUUACUCCUCGAUAAGGAUUACUCUGACACUAAUGAUUGUUGAUGUGUAUUCAUGAAGAUAUCCUUAAUUGGAUUUACAUCAUGUCAUUGAUGUGGAUGAUCUUAUUAUCAAUGUCUAUACAUGACAUAUUAGAUACACAUAAUCAUUUUGAGACGGAUAUUUGGGUCAAACCAAAUGGUGCUAAGUUUAUAGCUUGAGCACAUUCCCUAAGGAAUAAAUGUAUGUCAGUGUUCAUAUAUCUAGAAAUAUUGAAAAAGUUCAAUAUGGAUAUAUCUUAUCAAAGACACAUAUGGUCAUAUUAUACCUGGCAUGGGACACAAGCCCAUUCAAACCUAGGGGAGAUGGUAAAGUGAUAAUGGACAUGAAGUUCCGUAUCUGAGUACCAUUGGAGCACAUAUAUAAAUUGCAAAGUAAGUCAGGCCUGACACUAUAUUUGUUGGCAAUUUAUUGAGAGUGCAUCCCCAGUAAAAGGUAUAAUGGUUGGUGUAAGGAAUAUCUUGAGAUAUGUCCAAGACACAAAAGGUCUUGAUUAAUUCCAUUGAGAAAAUCAAGAUGGGACCAUGGUAUGAUAUCCUGAUAGUGGCUGAUAAUUUGAUCCCAACAAUGCCAUAUCAAAGACUGGAUUUAAUGGAAGAGUAUUUUGAGGGAAGCCUUCAAAAUAGACUCUAAAUGAGUCCUUCCUAUAAUCAUUCUGCCAUAACUAUGUUUGAAGCAUGACAAGAUAUACAUGUAUUUGCAGAAUGACUAGUCACAUGUGAGAUCAUGUGAAGAUUCAUUGGAAUCAAUUAUCAUUAUCUACCAAGAUAAUGUCACUUGUAUUUCUUAUGGGUUAUAUUUAUCCUCGCAAAUUAUAGAAAUGUAAGAGGAUAAUAUGCAAACAAAUUAUGGUGAGGUUCAUAAUGUCUCUACCAACGUUUAUAUUCCAGAAUCGCAUUCGUGGAAUUGGUAUGAGACAACAUUGAUGUUUGCGAGGGGAGUAAAAUCCCAUGUUAUAACCUUUUGGUGAUCUUCAGAUCAUUCAUAUUGUACUCUUUUUUCCUUUAUGAAUUUUCCAAGAUGGUUUCUCAUAUAAGGUUUUUAACGAGGCAAUAUAAAUACAAGUGCGGAUGUAUGCCAUAUUGGUUUCUCCUUAUAUUUUUCCCACCGGGUUUUAAAGGAGUUUUCGAUGGCAUAUUAUUAUAAGGUUUCUCCUCAUUUUUUUCCACAGGGUUUUUGGAGGAGUUUUCAGUUUGCAAUAUACAGAUGACGAAUUGAUCAAGGGGGAGUGUUGAGAAUUAAACAUGUGAUCAAUUGUAUGGGAGGGAUGCCUCCGAGGAGGUGUCUGUUGGGGAAAGGUGUCUCCCUAACACACCCCUUCAUUUUGUAUAUAAGUGGGUCUUCCACAUUGCAAUAGAACUAAUGGAUCAUUUGGACUCUUCAGUUGUCUCUUUGCAUUCAUUCUACUAGGAGAUGUGAAGUGUGCCAGAGCAUUAACGGUAGCGCAGCCCUCAGGAGGGACCAUGGAGGAAGCUAGAUAGAUGCUUGGGGGUACAUAUGUACGAGACCUCCUAUAUGCCGCUCGCUACGGCAGUUAGUCGGUCCUAGCUGGGCCAACCCAUUAGCAGCACAGAGCAGCGAGUGGGAGGAAUAGGCACUGUAGAGUCCCCCCCCCUCUAAAAAUAGGGUACCAUAGCGCCGUGGAAGGUAAUGCAGCAAACCAUCACUGUAGCAGACGUUGGAAAUCCUAUUUACUUUAUUUUGAACGAAAAUUAAGGUUUUGAACAUUUUAUUUGGAAAUUAUUUUUUUUGAAAUUUUGAACUUUUUAAAAAUCACAAACAUUUUUUAAAUACAUGAUCAAUUAUUUAAUUUUUUAAACAUUCUUUCGGGAAUUACAAGUGUUUUUAAAAUCGCAUUGAACAUAUUUUUGAAAGUGAUAUUUUUUGAAAAAUGAAAAUAAAACGAAAAAAUAAUACAAAUACUGAAAAACCAAGAAGAAAACCGGAAAACCCCGUGAAGAAAACAGAAAAGAGAACUGGUUCAGGAAAGAAGAAUGUUAAUAAUACGGAUAAACACCCGGGAUAAAUGCUUUUUUCCAGUUUAGAGUUUAGAAUUUGGUUUAGAACAUUUUUUUGCUUUAGUUUCCUAUUUUCAUUAUUUAAUUUGUAAUUUGUUUUAAAUAUUCAUGCAAUUUUAAAGUCAUGAACAUUUGUCCACAUUGGCAAACAUUUAUUAGUUUCCUUUUUUAAUUUUUUUAACAUUUUUGAAAUUUAGAAACAUUUUCAAUUAAUCGAACUUUUUUGGGUUUCAUGGCCUUAUUUAAAAUAUGUUUAAAUUGAUCGCCAUGCGCUCGCCCGCUGGCGGAUGUAGUGGACGUGGUGGGUCGCGGUCCGUGCUGAGAUUUUAUUCCAGCCCGUAUACCAUUGGAGAAUAAGAAAUGGGCUGAAGAAAACAAAUAAAAUAAAAGCCCAGCAAUCCAGUGGCCUCGCGAGAAAAAAAAAACCCCGGCGAGUCGCGAUUCACCUUUGCGGUUCUUCCCUCUUCUGAUUUUACUCGCCGCCAGCCAGCCCUGCCGCCAGCCGCCGGGCACGCCUCGCCGGCGACUCGCUGUCGCCGGAUUCCCAGAGGCCCAGGAGCCCGGGAUGGAAGCUCAGAUUAGAGAUUAAGCUCCGAUUUGCGGAUUAUAAGCAGCGCGGGACAGGGGACAAAGAUGGCUGCUGCCGGCGCGAAGGCGGUGCCGCCCACCUUGCUGUCGCUGUGCUUGCAGGCGGUCGCCGCGCAUCUCACCGCCGACGCGGCAGGCUCGGGUCGAUCCGGCGGGUGCGGUGCUCAUUUCGACGGGCUCGUCCAGGAGCUCGAGGAGGAGGAGGAGGAGGGUGGCGGCCACCUCGCGCCGGAGCAGGUCGCGGAGGCGCUGCCUUGGGAGCUUCUCCACCAGCUGGCGUCCUAUCUGCCGCCGUUCGCUCUCGAACUGCUCCAUCACGGCGCCCAUGUCCGGUACCCUACCCCUCUCCCCGUCCUUGCCUCCUCCCAUGGACCAUGGAUUGGAUGCAGUCUCUAUCUUCUUCCAUAUGUGGAGUACAGUGUAGUGUAUUCCUUCCACUCCUUUUAGUAUUUUCUUACAUUUUCAAAGAGAAAUUGGCUAAUCAUUUUGCAUUUCUGAUUGCCCAUCCUAGAUGCUGCUCUUCUGCUUCACUUACCGAUCGGUUCGGAGAGGCCGGCGGCAACAGACGUGGGACGAAACGUUCAAGGUGACGCUCAUUUGUACACUAAUGAGUCAGCUGCUGCAUUUGUUACAAGACGUCGGCCAAGAGAAUACUCCCUCCGUUCCUAAAUAUAAGUCUUUGUAGAGAUUUCACUAGUGGACUACAUACGGAUGUAUAUAGACAUACUUUAGAGUGUAUAUUCAAUCAUUUUGUUCCGUAUGUAGACAUGUAGUGAAAUCGCUUAAAAGACUUAUAUUUAGGAACGGAGGGAGUACUCUUCAAGUAUUUGACAGUGUUGAUGCUCGCAGGUGUGAAGACUUCAACACUGCAUGGCAGGCAUUGUUCGAAUUUCGCUGGCCCCUCCACGAUAACACUGGACAUGAUGACUUGGUUACUCUAGACUGGCAGCAGAAAUACUGGGAAAAGCAUCUGCAAGAGUGUGUUAUCAAACAGUUACAGAUGGGUUAAUCGUUGAUUAAUCCAGUCUGGACUGACUUUUGUCACUUCUUUUUACCCUUCCACAGGUGCCUGGAUGAAGCUGCAGAGGCCGCGUCGCUUCCUUCAUUUCGUGGGCAUAUUGGUGAGCUAAGUAUGUCAGGUGAAUAUAUAAAACCCCUUCCUCCUUCAGUAUUUGUUAUGCUUGACAUUGGUUGGUUGUUUACUCGCCAUAGUGAACAACUAUCAUACCAACAUGAGGCCUUGAGCUGAUUUGUUUCCUAGCCAAUAACAGCUUUAAGUUAUGCUUGCAGUUAGUUGUAACUGCAUUAUUGCACCUGCAGUAGCUAUUGAAAUUAUCUUCAAGUUUAACUAUAAUCUAUGCAGAUAAAACCAUGAGUUGCGUUUACCUCAGUGAGAACAUAGCUCAGCAGUAUUCGAGACUGUCAUAUCAUUGGACCAUACUUGGAUCCUAUGCAAGGUGCGAUCAUAUUUGUCAUUUGUUUGUCAUACCCAGUUCCUCUUUAACUCAUAUUUAACCUUUACAUGGAUAACUGCCUGGUGCUAGUGAUUUAUAUUCAAUUAAAGAAACCCCCACUCGUAAGUAGUUAGAGAUCGGUAAUAAUCUGGUGGGGAUCUCUAGUCAUGUUAUGCAAUGUUAGUUUUUCCAGUUUAAUUACAACAUGGACCUAGCUCAGAUCAGGUUGCUUCCAGCAUCCUUCAAGAACUAUGUAGAGAAUAGAUUUUCUUUGUUCUUACUAUAGUAAUUUUAACUUAUUUUCAGGUGCUUGAGAUUUCAAAAUGUGCUUUGCACGGCUGAAAUUUGUGUAAGUGCUCAAGCAGUACCUUUUUCCUUUAUUUUCCCACUGUCUAUGAUUAAUUAUCCACGGUCCGUAGCAUGUGUUGUUCAAUUGUGCAUGUGUUGUUUAAUUGUGUAUUUGUAUUGGGAAAAGUCAUGGAUGAAUCCAUGGGCAUAUGAACCCACUUUGGAAAACCCAUUUUUAAUUGCCCGAAAAUUAUAAAAAAAGUUCCAUGCAUACAUCUUCACAUUCUAUGUGCGCACAGAAAAUUUCGUGGAAACACAACUUUUUGUUCGGCCUGUGCAAAAAAGACAAAAAAAUAUGUCAUCUAACGCUAUUUAGGAGCACUGAAAUUUGUCUUUUUUGCAGAGGCACAACAGGAAGAGUUUCUUCCACAAAACUUUGUGUCGGGCACACAUGUUACGAAAAUGUAUGUGUGGAAUUUUGUUUCAAUUUUUUUGACAUUUUAAAACGCAUUUAAAAUGCAUUUUUAGAAAGUGGGUUCAUAUGCCAAUGGGUUCAGUAUGUCCACACUCAUCUGUAUUGCUGUUAUUUUGUUGGUAUUUUAUUAUACAUGUACCGCUCCAUCAUCCAUACAACAACAAAUGUGCACUCAAAUUCCGGAAAAGUUGUCCUUCGUGCUAUAUAUGUUUGCAUGUGUAUGGCAUGAAAAAUGUGAAUUCAUUGUGUAAAGUUCAAACUUAAGACAGUUAUGGUUGACUGCUAGAAAUCCGUUGUUUUUCAGGACAUGUUGCAACAUAGCAGGCUAGAAACUUUGGUGUUUGUAAGAAUCAUAUCAGAGCUUGAGGUAAUAUUAUGCCGGUAAGAUUAUGUUUGUUGUUGCAUACAAUAGCUUUAGGGAACAAAAAUGCAGAGCCAUGGGCUGCAACUCAGUUAAAAGUAACAUUAUGUUCCAUAGUUCAAGUUCCCGUGUCACGUAAACUAUAUAUCUUUGUACCAUAAGAGACAUAGGGAAAGUUAAUGUUGAGGCAGCGUUGUUAAGAAGCAUGCCAAAGAAGAACUGACUAGAAAAAAAAAUUAUGCAGCAGAUAAGCUACACACUUGUAGUAUCCUUUACGGCAUGAUGGCUCGUAUUGUUGCUUUGCUCUGUUUUGUCAGCUGAUACUAAGCUAAGAGUGGUCCAAUUUUUUAAGCCCCUUUUCAAUUUCCACUGACAGGUGAAUGCUGUAUGCCGGCUUCUGAGCUGCCAUGCUAGGACACUGUUAUCUCUUGAAUUUAUCCACUGCCAGCUUUAUCCUGCAGUCAUGGAUAAAGUUUGCACUAGUCUUUACCAGCCAGGAUCCCAAAACUACAAGAUCCAGUCCUUCAGUAUUAAAUCAUCUCGCAUAAGUGAAAGCAAGUCUCUAACCACCUCUGCUGGUCUAUUAAAUUUUCUGUCAUGUGCAAAGUAAGUUGCAUGUCCUCUUAUUCCACCUUCGUUUUAUUUUUGAACAGAUGUCGGGGAAUAGCCCGAGGAACCCAACCUUUUUUCCCUUUAUCAUUCUUUUUUAGCAAUUGUUGUUGCAUUAUUCUAUACAAUGGCACUCUAAUUAGAUGCUCAGUUAAUGAUUCCAUAAUAUAAAUUAGGGAGGAAAUUUUAUCCAGCCAUUUUAUGCAUUUUUCAUGAGAAUACUCUCCUAUUCUUCCCAUGUUGUAUUUGUUAGUUUAUGCUUCACAUAAAUUUUUAUUGAAGUAAAUACUCUCCCUGACACCAUGGAAAGAUUUAACACCAUUUUGAGGGUUUUGUGGAAUGGGCGCUGAUAGUUUGGCUGUUCUAGGUCCUUCUGAAAAAUCCGGAUAUGACCGUGGGUUUAACCGGAAACUGAAAAGCGGUGCCAGAUCCAGUCAUGUUGAACUUUUACAUGUUUUACAUGAAAAAAUAGUUUGCAUUAUUUUAUUCAGAGUAUCAUGACACACCCAUGGACGAUAUGGUCAUUCAUCUUAAAGCAGAGAGCAGUAGAAUAGAUUAGAAUGCAAAUAAAAAAAAGAGGCAAGAAUAAGAGUAACGAUAUGUAGAAGUGAAAAAAGAAAUCACCUAUUCAUCCUGUCAUUCAAUUUGUCCUGGUAACCUCAUGCCUGCAUCUCCAACCUAGUCCGCUAGUCGGUUGUUUGGGAUUUAAGAUUGGUAUAUGCAACAAACUGGUUAUGGUGCCUGUCUGUAAGCAUAAAUGGCAUGAUGUUGCUACUUAAUUACUGAUUGUUUGCCAAAAAGAUUGGGUGCACAUUAGCAUUGUUUUAUUCUUACUAUUGUUCAGGUCUCUGCAGUUGCUGUCAUUUAAUGAUGCUAAGAUGCAGCCAUCAUUUGCUAAGAUAAUUAUUCGUACUCUCCUUGAAGCUUCCUCCGGUUUACACACGCUUGACAUGUCAGAAAACAAUGUGGGUUCACACAAGAAUCUUUUCUUCUUUGAUAUCUGUUUCUUGGACCCAAAUAAUCUCUCUUUAUAGUUUGCAGGCUGGUUUUCUACUGCAGACAGAAGUUCUACAAGUUUAUCAUCAGCGUUGAAGUCAAACACAUCCCUGAACUCCCUGACUGUUCUUAACCUAAGGUAUUACCUGUUGCCUUUCAGCACCCGCCAAAUCGUCAUAAUUAGAAACCUUUAUUACCACUUCCUUUUCGAAGUUGGCAUGACUUGUGUAUUAACAUAUCAAUUUGUCAUGUCAGGGGAAACAAUUUGCAGGAGGGUGACAUGGAGGAUGUAUGCAAAAUUCUAGCAAAGAUGUCUAAUUUGAGAAAUUUAGAUAUAAGCGACAAUCCAAUCACUGAUGUGGGUAUCAGGUAGUCAUCAACAUUGCACAUGUAGUGUCUGCUGCUAAUUGUAGGCAGUAGAGUUAUGCUAUAUUGCUAUCUGUUUGUCUGUUUGUCUUCAGUUUUCUCUAGAUUUGCAUCAAUCAUGAAUGGAUGCAUAAUACUUCCUCCGUUCCUAAAUAUAAGUCUUUUUAGGCAUUUCACUAUGGAUUACAUACGGAUGUAUAUAGACAGACUUUAAAGUGUAGAUUCACUCAUUUUGCUCCGUAUGUAGUCCGUAGUGAAAUCUCUAAAAAGACUUGUAUUUAGGAACGGAGGGAGUAGUUCUUUAUGCCUGUGGUCAACUUCAAGACAAUUAUUCCUUGUAGACUCUGUUAUGUCCUAUCAGUAAGCACUAAGGAGUUACAUAUAAACUUGCAGAUACCUUAUGCCUUUCCUUGAAUUGGCUCUUCAAAGGGGGAAUCCACUUCAGAGAUUAAGAGCAGAGAACUGUGAUUUGUCCAGUAUCGGUGUGACUAAACUUCUUGAGUGCCUCACAUCGAUUAAUAAACCACUUGACAUGCUGUCUAUAGCAGAUAAUCAUCUUGGGAGGUAAGUCCUUUCUCCCAGUGCAGAGUUUCUGUUGUUUCUUUAGCUUGGUUCACAUUUUGGACUAUGAUGAAUUUUCAGUUCUGUGGCAGCUACAUUAGUGAAAUUCCUGGGUUCACAUGUAAGGGAGCUAAAUGUUGAAGACAUCGGCCUAGGACCAAUAGGCUUCCAAAUACUUGAGGAAGCAUUGCCAAGGAAAGUAAAUCUCUCCCACAUCAACAUUAGGUAGAAUAAACUCUGCCCGACUCACAAUGAUGAAUGCUUGACGUGCAAGUUUCCGUAGUCACUUCAAAUUUUAUUUUGCAGUAAGAACCGCGGUGGGAUGCGUACUGCAUACUUCAUUUCCAGGCUGAUACUGCAAGCACCGAACCUUGUAUCAGUCGAUGCAGGAUCUAACCUUUUACCCCCUGAAUCGCUGGAAGUGAUAUGUAAUGCAUUGAAGCAAACAACAUGUAAGAAACACGCUUCUUCGUGUUCUCCUUAACUAUGUUCAAGGCCGUCCCUAAUGGGCAUGCACCAAGGAGAAUGGUCAAUAACCAGUGGGCCUGUUGCAGGUAACUUGGCGCGACUAGACCUGAUGGGCAACCUGCAAUUGUCGAGUGCUAUCUUUCCUGCAGUCUUCGAGUUCAACAAGCACGGAAAGCCAAUCCUGCUUGUUCCGUCGGAGCAAGGUAGCUGUGCACCCUACGAUGCCGACCCGUAAGCUGUAAGUAGCACUUAUUAUACUGAGAAUUAUGAAAGGUGUCUGUUAUUUUUCCUUUGCAAGUUUGGGUGAAACCUCCUAUUUGCAUGAUCAAGGGAUGCAUGACGCUUUUUGCUGUAGAAGUUGGAGAAAGUGCACAAAGACUUUCAGUUAAUAAAGCAAAGCUACUUGGGCAACCAGGAAAAGGAGGCUUAGACGUCGAUUGGGGCAAAUAUUUAUCAUCAUUCCUUCAGCAGAUCACACGUAGAAUGAAGUGAAGUUUAAUUCGAGAACCCAACCACGAGUUGGUUCAUGAUUGGUUCUAGGGGUGCAGGACGGCGUCCCGCAAAGUCCGGCAAAAACAGCCAGCUAGUACACAGCUAGUACAAAUUAAUGUCACACAGUUUAAGACUAUCCAUAAUGGGAGUAACAUAGGUGAUAUGUCAUGUGGGGCCAGACUUAUAGGCGCAAGGGUCCUGCACCUCCCUAAUUCUGUCCUAGUUUAAUUAUAGAGUCCUAGAUUUAGGUUCAAGAGUCUGGGUCUUAAGUUGGAAAGGUUUUGUCCCGAAGAAGGUUACCCUGCCAACCCCCAAUUAGAGUUGAAAUCUGUUCGUUUUUUAAUUGGCUACUUAUAGCCACCCCUAUGCGAUCAAUAAAGGAAGGCAGAAAAUAAUCUAUCUUCUCCCCUCGUGCACCUGCACCUCGGUGCCCCUCCUC
This 24226-nucleotide long non-coding RNA is filed under the name Hordeum vulgare. RNAcentral describes it as "long non-coding RNA (HVUL_LNC021621)". Lineage: Eukaryota; Viridiplantae; Streptophyta; Magnoliopsida; Poales; Poaceae. The record is from RNAcentral.